UGUUUGAAUUUGCAGUCAAUUAACAUUGUCUUAGAGACAGUAGACAUUAAUUUUAUGGUCUAAACACUCUCCAUGCUCACAUAUUUCCAUGGUUGUCUGAAAAAUGUUGCUUUGCUCUGACCGUCUAUUGGCUAAGUCUCACAGGAGUGCCAACUGCACUGAAGUGUCAAGCAUUUAACAGACUGGUGGGAAUGGAAAUGUGUAGUGCUUUGCGGUCUCUAAGUGGCUUCAUUUGAACAAUGUCUACUUGCGACCUAAAAAAUCUUAACAGCAGCAUGGCUAUUGCAGACUAAUGAAUUCAGCUGGUUUACAGUUGCACAUUACUCUUACUAAAAUCUCUGAGCUGAAAAUUUGAGGAUAACUAUAGGAAUGUAUGGCACAUUAACUUCAAAUUUCAUAUUACACACUAGCUUUGGCUAACUACGCUAGGUUCUCUUCAGCCGCCUGAUUGAAUUUUUCAUUUAGCUUGAAAAUUAUGUGCUGUGCUGUUUGAGGGUUUGUUUGAUAUGGAAGUCUGUUCUUUUGUAGCAGCCUACUUCUCUUUUACAGCGUCACAGUUUUUUUUAAAUAAUGUUUAGUUUUUUAAAUUUUAAUAGCACUAGUUUGGUUAAAUCACCAUGCUCUUGAAAAGCUGUUCUGUGUUUAAACCUUCCCACCGUUAAACCCACAGCAUUACUCUCACCUCUUGGCAAAAGGGAAUGGGGCGUACAGCUCUGCCCUGCCCACAAGGGCGUCACUUACAAACCAGCUUUUUUUUUACUCCUUUUUGAAAUAACGGACAUGCGGUAAAGUCCCUGCAAUGCGAGCGCCUUUUACUCACAACUGUCGUGAGCCCUCUGGCUGAUCAUGUAAACAUCCAUCUAUUUUAAGGAGAACAUGAACUAAGCGUUGUGGUCCUACAACGGAUCCACACGUAUGACUGAAUUUCAAAAAAGACAUUUCAUCACAUGUAGUCUCAGAAAACAGGAUGAAGAUGCUUAACAGACUCCUCAGACAGUUUCCAGGCUUUUCCAACCUCUUCAGUCCCUAAGCAUACACAUAUACGCCCAUGUUUUAGCCAGCUCCACCCAGACGGAGAGCAGGAUAUAGCCCGCAAUUACGAUCAACGGCAUGUUUCCACUCCAAACCAGAGCCCUUUGUUUGAGCUUUCCCGCUAACUUUUUAACUCCGUCUCCUCUGAGUAAACAAUACAAACUGCCGGCUGUCACAUCAAUCAAGACUUUAUACUGUGUUCAUAGCUGAUCAGCUUGUGAAAGCACAUCACGUCAGCCACGCUGGAUUUGUGUGUCCCUGGACCAAUGAGUAAUACAAGUCUCUGGGGUUUUGAGAAGGGAUUGCCUCAUAGCGUGUAUGUUCUGCCUCCUUCCUCAGCCACGCCUGUGAGAACACAGACAACAUGUGAAUGUUCCCUCACUCAGAGGCUCCACAAGAGGACAAACAGACCCUCUCUGUGGCCGUGGGCCACGGCUCAGGCACCGUUCAGGCAUCGUGAGGCACAGCGGGUGGUGGGUAAAUGGUCAGACACUUGACCUACUGUGACCUUGUUUAUUUUUCUGUCCAUGGGGGCAAGCGGGGGGAUGGUUUACACAAACUGCCACAAUGUUACAAGCAUUCCACUGGGUAGGAGGAUGACUUCCACGUGGAAUGCUUAAGAGAUAUGCUCACACAUAUAAGUAAUAGGACUGGGUGCCGCUAAAGUAACUGCAUCUAAAAAUAAUGAUAUUUGAUCAUACUGUGUAUAUAUACAUUACUAUUUGGGGUCAGUCCUUUUUUAUGUUUUUAAAAGAAGUCUCUGUA
Molecule: long non-coding RNA, 1797 nt
Organism: Puntigrus tetrazona (Sumatra barb)
Lineage: Eukaryota; Metazoa; Chordata; Actinopteri; Cypriniformes; Cyprinidae
Exons: 3
Source: RefSeq, a predicted model, not a curated record